GACGAACGCUGGCGGCGGGCUUAACACAUGCAAGUCGAACGGAAAGGCCCUGCUUUUGUGGGGUGCUCGAGUGGCGAACGGGUGAGUAACACGCGAGUAACCUGCCCUUGACUUUGGGAUAACUUCAGGAAACUGGGGCUAAUACCGGAUAGGAGCUCCUGCUGCAUGGUGGGGGUUGGAAAGUUUCGGCGGCUGGGGAUGGACUCGCGGCUUAUCAGCUUGUUGGUGGGGUAGUGGCUUACCAAGGCGUUGACGGGUAGCCGGCCUGAGAGGGUGACCGGCCACAUUGGGCCUGCUCUACCGCCCAGACUCCUACGGGAGGCAGCGGUGGGGAAUAUUGCACAAUGGGCGGAAGCCUGAUGCAGCAACGCCGCGUGCGUGAUGUCGGCCUUCGGGUUGUAAACCGCUUUCGCCUGUGACGAAGCGUGAGUGACGGUAAUGGGUAAAGAAGCACCGGCUAACUACGUG
Molecule: ribosomal RNA, 468 nt
Filed under: uncultured bacterium
Lineage: Bacteria
Description: partial 16S ribosomal RNA
Rfam family: Bacterial small subunit ribosomal RNA
Source: RNAcentral